This 68-nucleotide transfer RNA is filed under the name Marmota monax (woodchuck). RNAcentral describes it as "tRNA.Ala". Lineage: Eukaryota; Metazoa; Chordata; Mammalia; Rodentia; Sciuridae. The record is from RNAcentral.
GGAUUGUGGUUCAGGGGUAGAACACCUGCCUAGCAUGUGUGAGGCACUGGGAUCAAUCCUCAGCACCA